RNAcentral lists this transfer RNA (87 nucleotides) under Bacillota bacterium. Its description in RNAcentral is "Firmicutes bacterium (anaerobic digester metagenome) tRNA-Leu". It matches the Rfam family "tRNA". From Rfam's summary of the family: Transfer RNA (tRNA) molecules are approximately 80 nucleotides in length. Their secondary structure includes four short double-helical elements and three loops (D, anti-codon, and T loops). The record is from RNAcentral. Lineage: Bacteria; Bacillati; Bacillota.
GCGAGAGUGGCGGAACCGGCAGACGCAGCGGACUUAAAAUCCGCUGGCCGCAAGGCCGUCCGGGUUCGAGUCCCGGCUCUCGCACCA